RNAcentral lists this ribosomal RNA (472 nucleotides) under uncultured bacterium. RNAcentral describes it as "bacterial SSU rRNA". It matches the Rfam family "Bacterial small subunit ribosomal RNA", at positions 355 to 825 of the family's 1533-position model. The record is from RNAcentral.
UGGGGAAUUUUGGACAAUGGGCGAAAGCCUGAUCCAGCCAUGCCGCGUGCAGGAUGAAGGCCUUCGGGUUGUAAACUGCUUUUGUACGGAACGAAAAGACUCCUUCUAAUAAAGGGGGUCCAUGACGGUACCGUAAGAAUAAGCACCGGCUAACUACGUGCCAGCAGCCGCGGUAAUACGUAGGGUGCAAGCGUUAAUCGGAAUUACUGGGCGUAAAGCGUGCGCAGGCGGUUAUAUAAGACAGAUGUGAAAUCCCCGGGCUCAACCUGGGAACUGCAUUUGUGACUGUAUAGCUAGAGUACGGUAGAGGGGGAUGGAAUUCCGCGUGUAGCAGUGAAAUGCGUAGAUAUGCGGAGGAACACCGAUGGCGAAGGCAAUCCCCUGGACCUGUACUGACGCUCAUGCACGAAAGCGUGGGGAGCAAACGGGAUUAGAUACCCAAGUAGUCCCUGAGCGGGCUGGCAAGGCGCAU